This 445-nucleotide ribosomal RNA is filed under the name uncultured bacterium. RNAcentral's name for it is "partial 16S ribosomal RNA". It matches the Rfam family "Bacterial small subunit ribosomal RNA", at positions 354 to 796 of the family's 1533-position model. The record is from RNAcentral.
GUGAGGAAUAUUGGUCAAUGGGCGAGAGCCUGAACCAGCCAAGUAGCGUGCAGGAUGACGGCCCUAUGGGUUGUAAACUGCUUUUACACGGGGAUAAAGUGUGCGACGUGUCGUUCAUUGCAGGUACCGUGCGAAUAAGGACCGGCUAAUUCCGUGCCAGCAGCCGCGGUAAUACGGAAGGUCCGGGCGUUAUCCGGAUUUUUUGGGGUUAAAGGGAGCGUAGGCCGUCUGUUAAGCGUGUUGUGAAAUGUAGAUGCUCAACAUCUGAAUUGCAGCGCGAGCUGACCGACUUGAGUGCGAAGGGAGUAGGCGGAAUUCGGGGUGUAGCGGUGAAAUGCUUAGAUAUCACGAAGAACUCCGAUUGCGAAGGCAGCUUACUGUAGCGCCACUGACGCUGAAGCUCGAAAGUGCGGGUAUCGAACAGGAUUAGAUACCCCAGUAGUCC